GGCAGCCUGGCUCCAACAUCCCAGGGAAUUGUGUCACUCCCAUUGAGCAGCUGUGGGGCCCUCUCCCACAUGGCCCAGGUCCACCACUCUGUCAAAGGUCGCACAGCCCAGACAAAAACAGGACACAGCAGUGUGUGAAUGAGCCGGGCUUUCUCCUUCCCUCCACGUAAUAGAAGGUGCCUGAGGUUGUUGAAACACAGUCCAUUUCUCCUGGGAAUGACAAGAAUUUGAGGGAUGCUGACUUUCAAGGAAUACUGCAUGACAGGCAUCAAGAUAAACCUGAUGAAGAAAACAUAGGCCAGAAUCUGGGAAUCGGGAGCAAAGUAAUACAGCUUCGGGGACAGGCACGUAAUGAGGUCAUGAUGUAGGAGACUCCCUGCAGGACUGGCGGCCCCUGUUCCCUGGGUUGUUCUGGCUCUUUCAGAACCUGACCCUGGAACAGGACUGAGCAGGUGCCUGUGUGCACAGAAGACCUUGUGUGAGUCCUUUGGUACCACGUUUGCUGCACGAAUGUCUGAGACACCUCACAGUCGCUUGGUUCAGCCUCUCCCUCCUCUCUCCGCUGGGGAACAUCAUCCCUCAUCACUGGAAGAAAUUACAAGGAUUGUGUAAACAAUUACAAGUAUUCUACAAACAGUGAGCAUGCUGGUUUGGCCCAUCUAUUUGUAAGAAAAAACAUGGGGUUUUAUGGCAAUGAGUUACAGCUCUGAACUCCUGGCACAAUCACAAAUAUCCUCAGCACAAAACACCAAGUGUAUGUCUCCCUUCUGUCCUAAAAGGGUAGUGUGUGCAACUCAUUGAUGGGGCUCCCAUUUCAUUUUUGAAAGAUCUGCUCACUGAUAAUACCAGUGAGAUUGUUUUCACCAAGAUCUAUGACAUACAAAUAAACUGUUGCUUCAAAAGCAUCUAGCGGCCAAUUGCUGAUCAUCCAAGUGACAAAAAGCUAACUACUUCAUUCCUAAUUAUUACUGCACACUGCUCACAAGCAUCUCUCAAUCCGUUACCAAUUUUAUCCUUGACUCCUGAUGAAACACAAAUCUCUUUGAUCAGGUUAUCACAUGGCAUAGGUGCAAUGGUGGUUGCUUCAGGGGAAAUAAUUUAAUUCAAGUACUUUGCAGUUUGCUAGGUGCCCUGGGGCAUAGUAUUCUUUGGGCCUCCUAAGGUUCUGAUGGUGAUGAACUGAUUUAACGUAUAGAAUAGUUUUUAAAUGUGAAGUGCUACAGGGACCACUAUGCAGGGAGCUGAAGGGCUAUUGAGCUGGACACUUGAGCAUUGGCUGCAUUGAAUGAUAAAUAUUGCACAAUAUUUCUCUUCCUCAAAAUAGAAAAUGACAAUGGAAAACUUUUAAUAAUGUCAACAUUGGUGACUAGAAAUACAUAUGUGCCUCCUUAUGAAAGCAGGGGUGGUGACUGAAUAGAAUUGUUUUGUUUUUAGAGAACGAUGUUUUUCUUUUUGUUUUUUCUUCUUUUAUAGUAUUUUACUUAAAAAUCCAAGUAAUAGUAUUCUACUGUAUUGCCUUGAAGAAGUAAAUUGAGAAAAGUCAGAACACUUAUGUAUUUUUAUUUAAAAACGAACGUUUUAGUCAGCACCCAAUGCAACAAAAGCAAACUAGAAAUUGCAUGUCAGCAAUAAAAUAACCAGGUUCUUAGAAGGGCGGCCUAAGUCAGCUCUACAGAUUCUCACCUUUGCUGAUUUAGCCGCAUGGAACCUAAUUAAUGGGUAGAUUAUACAUUUGCUCAACAAGUAUUAAUGGAGGUACUUGAAUGAACUGACAGGGCCCAGCCUUAUGCAGUGGUCCUCAAAGGCUUGUUCAUAUCUUGAUUUGGACAUCAAAAGAGAAGGCCGUCGCAGGAAAUCGGAGACCUUGAGCCUUUACAUGUCCACCUCAGAGACUAGACGUAACUGCCUGCUAGAAAUAGUGGCGUGAGGAAUGCGAAAGGGAGAAGUUGUUUGAAGGAUCUCAGACUCCAUGCCGUGUACUUUGAAGAUGAGCUUUAGAAAUUGCACAUCAAUAGUUACUGCAGAAGGAGCAAUAGGAACUGAGAACAUCUCACGCGGCUUAGUGCGACCGAUAAACACCAGCUGAAGCUUGUGUCCUGCACAAUAAACCUUAUUUGCUGAUCUCUGAAGGUGCAAAGCAGGGCACUACUGCUCAGCAGCCUCUGAUGACGGCACCGCGGCUCACACCUAUAAUCCAAGCACUUUGGGAGGCAGAGGCAGGCAGAUCACCUGAGCUCAGGAGUUCAAGGCCAGCCUGGCCAACAUGGUGAAACCCUGUCUCUACUAAAAAUACAAAAAUUAGCUGAGCAUGGUGGUGGGCGCCUGUAAUCCCAGCUACUCAGGAGGCUGAGGCAGGAGAAUAGCAUGAAGCCGGGAGGCAGAGGUUGCAGUGAGCCAAGACAGCGCCAUCGCACUGCAUCCUGAGCAAGAGCGAAACUCUGUCUCAAAAAAUAUAUGUGUGUGUGUGCAUGUGUGUGUGUGUGUGUGUGU
RNAcentral lists this long non-coding RNA (2490 nucleotides) under Homo sapiens (human). RNAcentral's name for it is "HSALNT0355843". The record is from RNAcentral. Lineage: Eukaryota; Metazoa; Chordata; Mammalia; Primates; Hominidae.